AUGGUCAUUGGUGAUCUAAAUGAAAUCCUCUAUGGAUCAGAAAAAGAUGGUGGCAAUCCUAGACCAGGGCGUAUGAUGCAAGCUUUUAGGGAUUGCCUGUUUGACUGCUCUUUGAUUGACAUGGAAUUUAUAGGUGACAAAUUCACGUGGAGACGUGGUGAGAUCCGAGAAAGACUAGAUCGGGCUGUUUGUAAUGAGGCUUGGUCAGAGAAGUUUCCAUUAGCAGUGCUAUCACUACAAAAAAAAAUACACUUCCGUGAUGAUACGUGUUUGUCACAGUAG
Molecule: ribosomal RNA, 282 nt
Filed under: Triticum aestivum (bread wheat)
Lineage: Eukaryota; Viridiplantae; Streptophyta; Magnoliopsida; Poales; Poaceae
Description: partial small subunit ribosomal RNA
Source: RNAcentral